Long non-coding RNA from Melanaphis sacchari, 1402 nucleotides. RefSeq lists it as uncharacterized. The transcript is spliced from 3 exons. Lineage: Eukaryota; Metazoa; Arthropoda; Insecta; Hemiptera; Aphididae. The record is from RefSeq and is a predicted model, not a curated record.
GAAGGGCGCGAACGACGAGCGACGGCGACGGCGACCGGGCACGACAUCUCAUCCGCGGUGAACCAACACACACACACACGUCGGUCCGCGAGUUUCCCUUUGCAAACGUUUUCAGUGCGACUCGAACAACGGCCGCGGAUGCAGGGACGGCGGACUGCUGGUGCGCCGCACAAGCCAAAGAGACGAAUGUAAGCCGACGACCGGACUCCGAAACAACUCUGCACCUCGUCGGUUCGACGUCUACGCGAACACCACAUUCGAGAUCAAGAACUUGACGCGUAUUGGACAUACCGUCGUUUCACGAUCCAAGUACAUCUCACGGAUGCGGCGCCGACUUAUCACAUAGUGUCAUAGCAGCGGUUCAACAGCGGUAUACGCGGUACCUUAGGUAUAUUGACCUAUACUCGUCCGCAUUCGAUCGAGGCCCCGAGUAUACACGCCGCAUUCAAACCUCAGGUGGAAGGUGAAACGUGGGCCCCGUCGAUGUCGUAUCUCCGGAGAGCCGUUCGGACAUCGUCGGUCGUGUGUUCCACGCGGAAAUCAUAAGUAAUAAUAAUACGAAUAACGACGAUCAGUAAUAUUGAGAUAUUACGAACCGUCGUUAUUAUAAUAUUAUUGUUAUUACUCAUCACCUGCAGUCAGUCGUGCGGGCCGCAUAGAAUUUAAGGCGACAACAACACAACAGUAAUAAUUAUUAAUUUCUACGCAACACAUCAUCAGAAUCCGUUACCGCAAACGCAACAGUUAUAAUAUAGUGAGUAAAAACAAAAACAAAUUUAAAAAAAAAAAAAUCUCUAGUACCGUACCAGCCGAAAGAGUAAUUAUUGAUAUAAUCAUUAAUUGUAUCAUAUUAUAUUAUAUUAAAUGUGUGUGUGUAAUGUGUAUAUAUAAAACUAUAAUUUUUUUUUUGUCGUUCUCGUCAGUUGUGUGACCCGAGCGCGACACCACUGUCGAAAAUAGGCGAAGGUAUACAAAAUAUGUGUAUAAAUAUUAUUAAAAAAUUAUUUUUACUUAAUAUUGUUGUAUAUGCGUGAAAAAAAUUAAACUUUUCGUUCAACACGUUCUGUUAAAACCAAAAUGUCGUUUUCAUUUUUUUUUUUCUUUUUGUUUUCGUUUGCUCGCAGCACAUUACACGUCAUAAUAAUAGUGUAAUAAUACGCUGCAUAACGGCCACGAAAAAUAAUGCAUAUUAAUAAUAAUACACGAAUACUGCAUUAUCGAUAAUAAUGUAACAACCACAACGAUAAUACGACUACGUAUUAAUAAUAUAAUGUUAUAUACGUGUAUAAUAUAUAUAUAUAUAUGGUCCGGGAUUAAUUUCAGCGGCACGUAAUUAUUAUACUAUUUAAUAUUACGACACAAAUAUUGUAUAAGUCCAUAUUAUUAUUAUACUGAGCAGUCG